RNAcentral lists this unclassified non-coding RNA (313 nucleotides) under uncultured Inocybe. Its description in RNAcentral is "sequence contains ITS2". The stretch from base 1 to 52 matches the Rfam family "5.8S ribosomal RNA", at positions 103 to 154 of the family's 154-position model. The record is from RNAcentral. Lineage: Eukaryota; Fungi; Basidiomycota; Agaricomycetes; Agaricales; Cortinariaceae.
AACGCAUCUUGCGCUCCUUGGUAUUCCGAGGAGCAUGCCUGUUUGAGUGUCAUUCAAGUUCUCAACCACAUCAAUAUUCUGUUGAUGUGCGCUUGGACGUGGGGGUUUAUUUUGCAGGCUUCUUUGAAGUCGGCUCCCCUGAAAUGUAUUAGUGGUAUCUGAGCAGAAGAAACUACUACAGGUGUGAUAACUAUCUACAUCUUGGUAUGCUGCAUGAACAGAUUGCACUGCUUCUAAUGAGUGAAACCCCUUUUUGGGGCCACAUUUUGAUGAAUUUGACCUCAAAUCAGGUAGGACUACCCGCUGAACUUAA